AACUCUGAAAAGCGAACAGCACCGAAGGAGAAAACAUUCAAAUGUGAAGCUCUCAGGUAAAUAAACAGAGGU
RNAcentral lists this non-coding RNA (72 nucleotides) under Clostridiales bacterium. Its description in RNAcentral is "Glycine sequence". It matches the Rfam family "Glycine riboswitch aptamer", at positions 7 to 88 of the family's 94-position model. Rfam says of the family: This family represents the bacterial glycine riboswitch. Lineage: Bacteria; Bacillati; Bacillota; Clostridia; Eubacteriales. The record is from RNAcentral.